CAGCCGCCACGGUAAUACGUAGGGUGCGAGCGUUAAUCGGAAUUACUGGGCGUAAAGCGUGCGCAGGCGGUUUUGUAAGACAGGCGUGAAAUCCCCGGGCUCAACCUGGGAAUGGCGCUUGUGACUGCAAAGCUAGAGUGCGGCAGAGGGGGAUGGAAUUCCGCGUGUAGCAGUGAAAUGCGUAGAUAUGCGGAGGAACACCGAUGGCGAAGGCAAUCCCCUGGGCCUGCACUGACGCUCAUGCACGAAAGCGUGGGGAGCAAACAGGAUUAGAUACCCCGGUAGUCCCUGUCUCUUAUAC
RNAcentral lists this ribosomal RNA (301 nucleotides) under uncultured bacterium. Its description in RNAcentral is "partial 16S ribosomal RNA". It matches the Rfam family "Bacterial small subunit ribosomal RNA", at positions 509 to 807 of the family's 1533-position model. The record is from RNAcentral.